Quercus lobata is the source of this 356-nucleotide long non-coding RNA. RefSeq lists it as uncharacterized. The record is from RefSeq and is a predicted model, not a curated record. The transcript is spliced from 4 exons. Lineage: Eukaryota; Viridiplantae; Streptophyta; Magnoliopsida; Fagales; Fagaceae.
CAAACGCUUUGCCUCACAACCAACGGCUACAGGGCAGCCAAGUAGGUGAAUUUACAGGACAAGUCUGGAACUUUGGUAGAAGAAAGGGUGGUGAAAAUGGACAAAUAUAGCCAAGGCUUUGUGGUUGAGUUUCUAUUUCCUUUGAUAAUUUUGAGAAGCUGCCAAGGCUUUUGGUGUGGGCAUGGGAGGAAACCUUGCCGCUUUUACUUCAAAGUAGUUGUUUUCAUGGUUAUUUAUAGCUCCUGACAGCGAUGAUAUCUCCACAGCUAUACAGUUCAUCAAUAAGGCAAGGCCAUGGAUUACAUUGAUGGUCAUUGGCUGGGAAUAUGGUGCAAACAUGUUGACGAAGUACUUGG